RNAcentral lists this ribosomal RNA (253 nucleotides) under uncultured bacterium. Its description in RNAcentral is "partial 16S ribosomal RNA". It matches the Rfam family "Bacterial small subunit ribosomal RNA", at positions 524 to 776 of the family's 1533-position model. The record is from RNAcentral.
CACGUAGGAGCCAAUCGUUAUCCGAAUUCACUGGGCGUAAAGCGCGUGCAGGCGGUGCAAUAAGAUGGAUGUAAAAUCUCCUGGCUCAACUGGGAGGGGACGUUCAAUACUGUUGCACUAGCGGGCGAGAGAGGGAGGUGGAAUUCCCGGUGUAGUGGUGAAAUGCGUAGAUAUCGGGAGGAACACCAGUGGCGAAGGCGGCCUCCUGGCUCGCACCUGACGCUCAGACGCGAAAGCUAGGGGAGUGAACGGG